This 388-nucleotide unclassified non-coding RNA is filed under the name uncultured bacterium. RNAcentral describes it as "contains 16S-23S intergenic spacer region". The record is from RNAcentral.
UCCGAGUUGACCCCGGCAGUCUCCCGUGAGUCCCCGGCAGCCCCGAAGGGCCCCGCUGGCAACACAGGACAAGGGUUGCGCUCGUUGCGGGACUUAACCCAACAUCUCACGACACGAGCUGACGACGGCCAUGCAGCACCUGUCUUACAGUUCCCGAAGGCACCAAUCCAUCUCUGGAAAGUUCUGUAGAUGUCAAGGCCAGGUAAGGUUCUUCGCGUUGCGUCGAAUUAAACCACAUGCUCCACCGCUUGUGCGGGCCCCCGUCAAUUCCUUUGAGUUUCAGCCUUGCGGCCGUACUCCCCAGGCGGGGUGCUUAACGCGUUAGCUGCGACACUGACGGGGUCGCUCCCCCCAGCAUCUAGCACCCAUCGUUUACGGCGUGGACUAC